RNAcentral lists this small RNA (198 nucleotides) under Vigna angularis var. angularis. RNAcentral describes it as "Non-protein coding transcript". Lineage: Eukaryota; Viridiplantae; Streptophyta; Magnoliopsida; Fabales; Fabaceae. The record is from RNAcentral.
GUUGGCAAUGAGGUUCAGAGCUUGUGACUAUGCUGCAUUCCAGCUGUGAAGCUCUUGAAAUGAAUUGGUUAAAGUUUUCUACACAACAUUAGCCCAGAAAAUUUUGUUAGUGUCUCAAAAGCAGUAGCUGAUAUAUACGAAGACAAGUGCUACAAAAAUUUGGUUUUUAUUUUGCUGGAGAUCUAAGUUAUACAUCUG